RNAcentral lists this ribosomal RNA (426 nucleotides) under uncultured bacterium. RNAcentral describes it as "bacterial SSU rRNA". It matches the Rfam family "Bacterial small subunit ribosomal RNA", at positions 356 to 774 of the family's 1533-position model. The record is from RNAcentral.
UAAGAAUCUUCCGCAAUGGGCGAAAGCCUGACGGAGCGACGCCGCGUGGACGAUGAAGGCCGUGAGGUUGUAAAGUCCUUUUCGGGGGGGGGGAAUGAGGUCCGCAGGGAAUGGCGGGCCGAUGACGUGAACCCCGGAAUAAGCCCCGGCUAACUACGUGCCAGCAGCCGCGGUAACACGUAGGGGGCGAGCGUUGUUCGGAAUCAUUGGGCGUAAAGGGCGCGCAGGCGGCGAGGCAAGUCCGGUGUGAAAGUGCUCGGCUCAACCGAGUGAUGCGCUGGAAACUGCAAGGCUAGAGUAUGGGAGAGGUAGGUGGAAUUCUCGGUGUAGGGGUAAAAUCCGUAGAGAUCGAGAGGAAUACUCAUUGCGAAGGCGACCUGCUGGAACAUUACUGACGCUGAGGUGCGAAAGCGUGGGGAGCAAACA